RNAcentral lists this long non-coding RNA (1086 nucleotides) under Ananas comosus (pineapple). RNAcentral's name for it is "long non-coding RNA (ACOM_LNC005465)". The record is from RNAcentral. Lineage: Eukaryota; Viridiplantae; Streptophyta; Magnoliopsida; Poales; Bromeliaceae.
CACCAUUUAAGCAAAUUAUAAAAUUGAUAAAUUUGAAUGGCUAAUAUAAUGUACAUUUGUGACUACUUGAUCACUAAAUAGAUAAUAUCAUACAAGCAUGAAUUUUACUUUGCAUAAAGUUCAAUUAAUUUAGAUUACAUUUGAUGGUACCGAUGUUUGUUUAGAUAUCACACUGUCAUUAUUAGAAGUUUUCUAGCCUUUUCGUAAAAAAAAAAUUCACUAGUUUUGUGAUUUUUCAAAAGUGUGCCACUUUUUUCAUUUUUGUAAAUUCAAUCCAAAUUUUUUCUUUUUAAAUAACCAAAAUGCCCCUAUUUUUUCUAUCCUUGCUCUUUUUCUCCUCCCACUUCUUCUCAAUCCUUCUCCACAGCCCCACUGUUGCUCCCAUGCUCCUUCUCUACCUUGCGCACUAGCGAAGGACGAUAACAAAGUUUGACUCACUUUGAAGUGGUGGCCGUUGUUUGAGGUUGCUGCAGAUAGACGAGAGUGAUGUUGCUCAGAGCAUUGCCGAAGAUAGAGAUAGAGUGGUGGAGGACGAGGGCAAUGAUCAUUGAUUUAGAAUACUUCUAAAACAUGUUCGCGAGUUGGUUUGCGAACGUGGCCACGGUGGCGAAGUAGUAGUGAUAGUGAGAGAGAAAAUUUUGGCGGAUGACGCGAUAUUACACUAUUUUAAAAAAAGUUGUACUGUUUGAAUAAUAUUGCAUUAUUUAGGAAAAAAAUUAUACUAUUUGAUACAUAGAUUAAACUAUAAAAGGGUGCAACUUUCUAGUUAAAUAAUGUAAAAUAUGUUCGAAUAAUGUAACUUUUUAAUGAAUAGUGCAACAUCUCGUCGUCCACCAGAUAUUUUUUUCUCUUACUAACACCACCAUCUUGUCGCCGUCGGCCACUCUUACUGUGAACAUGCUUCGGAAAUUUUCUUAACUAACGAUCGUCACCCUCCUCCUUUGCCACCUUCGUCUCCAUCAGAUAAACGUUGAGUGGCCACGACGAUGAGUAGGACAAAUUCGCCUUAUUUAAUUUUCUCGUUCGUAAGAGUUCACGAUGCGGACACGAUGACGAAAUUGGUUUGGAGGCAGUAGAGGUGGGAUG